UACGAAGGGUGCAAACGUUGCUCGGAAUCAUUGGGCGUAAAGCGCACGUAGGCGGCUUCGCAAGUCGGAUGUGAAAUCCCUCGGCUCAACCGAGGACGUGCAUCCGAAACUGCGAAGCUUGAGUACAGAAGAGGAUCGCGGAAUUCCCGGUGUAGAGGUGAAAUUCGUAGAUAUCGGGAGGAAUACCGAUGGCGAAGGCAGGUCUCUGGGCUAUAACUGACGCUCAUGCACGAAAGCGUGGGGAGCAAACAGG
Molecule: ribosomal RNA, 253 nt
Filed under: uncultured bacterium
Lineage: Bacteria
Description: partial 16S ribosomal RNA
Rfam family: Bacterial small subunit ribosomal RNA
Source: RNAcentral